This 23-nucleotide non-coding RNA is filed under the name Cricetulus griseus (Chinese hamster). The record is from RNAcentral. Lineage: Eukaryota; Metazoa; Chordata; Mammalia; Rodentia; Cricetidae.
GCUAGGACUUCAGAGGGAGAGGA